This is a long non-coding RNA of Zea mays, 818 nucleotides long. RefSeq lists it as uncharacterized. The transcript is spliced from 3 exons. Lineage: Eukaryota; Viridiplantae; Streptophyta; Magnoliopsida; Poales; Poaceae. The record is from RefSeq and is a predicted model, not a curated record.
UAGGACCUCCCCUCCCUCUUCCACAUCCGCAGUCACAACGCCAAUGGGUAGUUCUUCGCCCGUGCGGUCGAGGCGGUCCCAGCAACAGGACCAACCACGCACACUCGCAUCUCGCUCCUUGAUGUUACCAGGGAAGUAUAAAGGUUGUUUGAGUUAUAAAUAGCAAACCAAGAUUAGAGAUGGCCAGGAGGUGGAGCCAUGAAUGAUCUAUCCUAGUGGAUUUCCUUUCCUAGCAUCACCACAUGUAAAACAGGGGAGAUUUAAGAUCCAACACAUCAGCGAAGUGGCACCCUUGCUGACACAAGAAUACGUCCAGGUCUCGUAGAACACCUAACGCUGGUAAGUACUCCUAAUAUGCAAGUGGUUAUGCUGAUGUUGAUGAAUCGAUUGGUAUUUUGAGACUUGUAUUAUGUCUCCUUUGAGCAGGUUUUAGUUUCACCAGGUACACUACAUUAUUUGUUCACCUUAUUAUGAUUAUUUGAUCACUGUAUUUUAUUAUUUGAUCACUGUAUUAUCUGGAAAAAUUACGAAUAUGCCUACUCCUGUAUCAUAAUCACUUGUUGCCUACUCUGUCAGCCUUUGCAAAGAUUGCUACUGUUUUGUUGUCUAAACCACUGGCUAUCAAAAUUUCUUAAAGUGUUGUGUUAGUUCUGUAACCUUCAUCGGUCUAGAUAUUUUGUAUCUAAUCAUCCUCUAAUAAGCACAUCUGUUAAGUUCAAGUUAACACAGUUACACUCCCAUACAUGUAUACAAUGACGAUGACCUGUUGUACAUUCUUAUUGCUUGGGUAUUCAUUCUCUGGUGCUUAGAGUCUAAUG